CGAUGCCAACUAGCGAUCCGCCGGUGGAUUUUUAGCCCUGGUGGGUAGCUUCCCGGAAACGAAAGUCUUCCGGUUCCGGGGGAAGUAUGGUUGCAAAGCUGAAACUUAAAGGAAUUGACGGAAGGGCACCACCAGGAGUGGAGCCUGCGGCUUAAUUUGACUCAACACGGGGAAACUCACCCGGCCCGGACACCGUAAGGAUUGACAGAUUGAUAGCUCUUUCAUGAUUCGGUGGUUGGUGGUGCAUGGCCGUUCUUAGUUCGUGGAUCGAUUUGUCUGGUUUAUUCCGAUAACGAGCGAGACUCUAGCCUACUAAAUAUGUAACGAGAUUAUCAAUGUCUCAGUUGCUUCUUAGAGGGAUUUUCGGUGUUUAGCCGCACGAGAUUGAGCAAUAACAGGUCUGUGAUGCCCUUAGAUGUCCGGGGCUGCACGCGCGCUACACUGGCGAAAUCAGCGUGCUGUAUCCAUUCUCGAAAGGGAUUGGUAAACCCAUGAAAAUUGCCGUGCUUGGGAUCGGAAAUGGCAAUUAU
This 530-nucleotide ribosomal RNA is filed under the name Cephalobidae environmental sample. RNAcentral's name for it is "SSU rRNA". It matches the Rfam family "Eukaryotic small subunit ribosomal RNA", at positions 1037 to 1593 of the family's 1831-position model. Lineage: Eukaryota; Metazoa; Nematoda; Chromadorea; Rhabditida; Cephalobidae. The record is from RNAcentral.